Long non-coding RNA from Canis lupus familiaris (dog), 996 nucleotides. RefSeq lists it as uncharacterized. The transcript is spliced from 3 exons. Lineage: Eukaryota; Metazoa; Chordata; Mammalia; Carnivora; Canidae. The record is from RefSeq and is a predicted model, not a curated record.
CUCCCCCCUCCCUCCGCCACUCCCCCCCCUUUCCAGUCGCUCUACGAGGCCCCCUCCGUAUUGGCUGCCGGGGCCCUGAUGUCAGGGACGUCCGCCGGAGCGGAUUGGCGGACGCGAGAGUUCGGGAAUCCUGCUCCGGAGCCCGGCUCUCCGGUUACUCCGGCAACGAGGCAAGCAACCCCUUGGAGGGCGGCGGAGCGCCGCUCGCGGCCGCGCCUGGGGCCCGCCUCCCUCCGACGACCGCCGCGCCUCCACUGCCGCAGCCCGGCCCGCGGCCUCCCUCCGUCCUUCCCCGGCUCUCCAGCUCCCGAGAAGCGGUCGCCCCCCCCCGCCGGGUCCCCAGGUCACCGCCACCAGCUGCGGCGGACUGGAAGCGAAUGCGCGUUGCUUAGUAACCUAGCCGCGUGCCCCCCUCCCCGCUAUUUACCCGGGCCCGCGGAGGCGGAGACUGAGUCCCAGCCCCCUCCCCAUCCUUCGCCCUUCGCCCUCCCGCCCACAAUUUCCUGUGAGGGGCCAAGAUGACAGGAAGUCGGCGGCGCACCUCGGCCCACCUCGGCCCACCUGUCCCUCGGGCCGGGCGGGGGCUGCUGCCGCUCUCCCGGCCACCGCGCCCACCCGGCUCCCGCGGUUCGGGCCGCGCGUCUCGCCCUCGCCAUCUCGUGGCUGCGCGGCGAAGGUCCGCACGGCGCUGGGCUCGGGGCCGGGCGAGGAGCGGCCAAGUGGGGUCGGACCGGGAAUGGAGCGGCUGGCGAGGGCCGGCGGACUGCACGGAGGCGGGGGUGCCGCGCGGAGGCUGGCUGCCGGCGCCAGGGGCAAGGCUGAGGCCACACACACACCUCACGGCCUGAAGUGGAUCGUGGGCAUGAGGCAGACAAGCUGCAUGGGUUCUGCCUCCACCAAGCAGGAGUUCUUCCUAUCCCAGCCGGCACCCUCCAGAUUUUCUUUGACAGGGCAGCCCUGGUGGCUCAGCGGUUUAGCGCUGCCUUCCACCCAGGG